GUGUUUAUGCAUUUGAAAUUUUGAUUUUCAAGGAGUAGUAUUUCUAC
This 47-nucleotide transfer RNA is filed under the name Girardia sp. ER-2015. Its description in RNAcentral is "tRNA-Gln". The record is from RNAcentral. Lineage: Eukaryota; Metazoa; Platyhelminthes; Tricladida; Dugesiidae.